This 417-nucleotide ribosomal RNA is filed under the name uncultured bacterium. RNAcentral describes it as "bacterial SSU rRNA". It matches the Rfam family "Bacterial small subunit ribosomal RNA", at positions 29 to 448 of the family's 1533-position model. The record is from RNAcentral.
AUUGAACGCUGGCGGAAUGCUUUACACAUGCAAGUCGAGCGGCAGCGCGGGGGCAACCCUGGCGGCGAGCGGCGAACGGGUGAGUAACAUAUCGGAACGUACCCCGUCGUGGGGGAUAACACAGCGAAAGCUGUGCUAAUACCGCAUACGACCUGAGGGUGAAAGCGGGGGAUCGCAAGACCUCGCGCGAUGGGAGCGGCCGAUAUCGGAUUAGCUUGUUGGUGAGGUAAAGGCUCACCAAGGCGACGAUCCGUAGCUGGUCUGAGAGGACGACCAGCCACACUGGAACUGAGACACGGUCCAGACUCCUACGGGAGGCAGCAGUGGGGAAUUUUGGACAAUGGGGGCAACCCUGAUCCAGCCAUUCCGCGUGAGUGAAGAAGGCCUCGGGUUGUAAAGCUCUUUCUAGCAGGAACG